Macaca mulatta (Rhesus monkey) is the source of this 723-nucleotide non-coding RNA. NCBI's taxonomy places the organism in Eukaryota, Metazoa, Chordata, Mammalia, Primates, Cercopithecidae. The record is from RefSeq and is a predicted model, not a curated record.
CGUAGGAAGCCUGCUCGCUGUGCGUCCAGCCCUGGGUUCUCAUCCAGCCCUCUACCAUGGCCUGCAGGGAGGUGGGGCUGUGCGGGCUUGUCUGCAGGAAGGGGACAGGUUGACUCGUCCUCCACCAGCUCCCUCAGCAGUUUCUCCCACUGGCAGAGGAGAGCUGGGUCCUUCGGAUUCCGCGUGGAUUUCAAGGUGUCCAGGUUGGCUUUCUGCCCAGCAGGAGAGAAACGGUAAGAGAGCCCGCCUCAGCAUGGAGCCCAGCUGGACAGGCCACAGGGCUGAUUGGCCCAAGAUGUUUCCAGCCACGACCUUGGGAACUUUGAGGGAUAACUUGGUGAUAUCAGUUCAAGGUCGUCCACAACUCCGAGGCUAGGACCCCCCCCACAUCCUUCCUGCUGCCCAACAGAAGAAACAGGUGGCAAGAAGCUGGGACGGGGUAAGACUGGGAAGCAGUGCAGAGCACUGACCUCCACACAGGCGUGAGAAAGUCAUGCCGGAGGUCCCAGCCCCAGGUGGCUCCCGAGAACUACACUCCCGACAGCCACCUGAGACCGUUUGUGAUCUCACUCCUUCCAGCUUCCAUGGUCGGAUCUUCAUGUCACCUCCAUGCCUCCCCCCGACCCUGUCGAACUUCAAAAACCAGCACAUUGCUGUGGCUUUGCACGUUAUUCCCUUCUACCCCCACCCAGCCCCCAACAAACUCCUAUGCAUUCUUCAAAA